GGGUUGUGAGGUUAAGCGACCAAGCGUACACGGUGGAUGCCCUGGCAGUCAGAGGCGAUGAAGGACGUGCUAAUCUGCGAUAAGCGCCGGUAAGGUGAUAUGAACCGUUAUAACCGGCGAUUUCCGAAUGGGGAAACCCAGUG
RNAcentral lists this ribosomal RNA (143 nucleotides) under Salmonella enterica subsp. salamae serovar 58:a:-. Its description in RNAcentral is "partial 23S ribosomal RNA". It matches the Rfam family "Bacterial large subunit ribosomal RNA", at positions 1 to 133 of the family's 2925-position model. Lineage: Bacteria; Pseudomonadati; Pseudomonadota; Gammaproteobacteria; Enterobacterales; Enterobacteriaceae. The record is from RNAcentral.